RNAcentral lists this unclassified non-coding RNA (256 nucleotides) under uncultured fungus. RNAcentral's name for it is "sequence contains 18S rRNA gene, ITS1, 5.8S rRNA gene". The stretch from base 1 to 52 matches the Rfam family "Eukaryotic small subunit ribosomal RNA", at positions 1780 to 1831 of the family's 1831-position model. The record is from RNAcentral. Lineage: Eukaryota; Fungi.
AAGUAAAAGUCGUAACCAGGUUUCCGUAGGUGAACCUGCGGAAGGAUCAUUCAUAAUAGGUGUUCUACUGCACUUUUUUAAAAAUAGUACUCACCUUGUGUGCAAUGUUUGUUGGACUCUCUCUCGGGAGAGUUUGACACCUACACCAACCUUUUUAUUUUGAACCACUUUGUCUGAAAAAUAUUAUGAAUACUUAAUUCAAAAUACAACUUUCAACAACGGAUCUCUUGGCUCUCGCAUCGAUGAAGAACGCAGC